CAAUAAUUACCCUGCUAUACUAUAGAAAACAAGAUCUAAUUCCUUCUCUCUGUAUUUGGGUGUCCCUUGUUUAAUUUCUUUCUGUCUCUGCCUCCCACUGCCCUUCUCAGUCUCUAGUGACCACUCUUCUGCUCUGUUCUUCCAUAAGAUUGACAUUUUAGUUUCCACAAGUUAGUGAGAACAAGGAAAAGCAAUUUUAUAAGGCUCAAAACGUAGCUUUCCAGGUCAGUGUAGAUCCAUUAUUGUAUGCCUCUAUAUUUUCAAACAGUGAAAUUAGCACCCCCAUUCCCACCUAGGGUUUGGGCAGAGUUUGGGGAGAGGGAUCUUCCCUUGAAGACCAUGGUAACCAAAGUCCAAGAUGCCCUCCAGGCAUCCCCACCUCCUGUUUUAACACCCUGUCCAGUCACCUCCCACAUGGUACCAGAGGUGGUCUGUGUGGCCAGCAGAACACAAGAGAAGUUAUGGUAUGUCACUUCCUGGAUCAGGUUAUAAAAGACACUGCAGCUUCUUCCUUGGUCUCUAUUUUUCCCCCUCUUUUCUGAAUAUCAGGAAAUAUGCUCUAGGGGAAGCCCGCUGCCAUGGUCAUGAGGAACCCUUACAGAGAGACCCAUACAAUAAAGAACAGAGCCUACUGUCAACUGCCAGUGCCAACUUGUGCCAACUUGCUGGUCCUGUGGGUGCACCAACCUGGGAGCAGAUCCUCCAGCCCAGGUGGAGCCUUCAGAGACUGAAUCCUCAGCCAACAACCUGACCUCACAAGAGACCAUGAGCCAGACCAUCAACUAAGUCACUCCUUAGCUCUGCGAGAUAAUAAAUGCUUAUUAUUUUAAGCUGCCAAAUGUUGCAGUAAUGCUAUAAUUUCGAUAAGUGUCCCCCAAAGAUCUAUGUGUUAAAAGCUUGGUUGCCAACAUGUGGUGCCAUUGGAAGGUGCUGGAAAUUUAGGAGAUGUGGCCUAGUAGAAGGAAAUCAGGUCAUUGGGGGUGUGACCUGGAAGGGGAUAUUGAGAGCCGGGCCCCUUCCUGUCUCUUUUUGUUUUGCUUCUGUCUGCCAUGAGGUUAGCAGAUUCUCUCACUAUGUCAUCACACUAUGACGUAUUGCCUCAAAAGCAAUGGGACCUACUGACCAUAUACCGAAACCUCUAAAAUCA
This 1147-nucleotide long non-coding RNA is filed under the name Marmota monax (woodchuck). The record is from RNAcentral. Lineage: Eukaryota; Metazoa; Chordata; Mammalia; Rodentia; Sciuridae.